This 2620-nucleotide long non-coding RNA is filed under the name Sus scrofa (pig). RNAcentral describes it as "lncRNA (ENSSSCG00015041396.1)". Lineage: Eukaryota; Metazoa; Chordata; Mammalia; Artiodactyla; Suidae. The record is from RNAcentral.
AAGGGAAAGGGAGUGAGAUGGACUGGGAGUUUGGGCUUAUAGAUGCAAACUAUUACAUUUAGAAUGGAUAAGCAGUGAGGUCCUUCAUAGUUCAGGGAACCGUAUCCAAUCGCUUGGGAUAGACCAUGAUGGAAGAUAGUAUGACCGAAAGAAUAUAUAUAUGUGUGUGUGUGUGUGUGUCACUUUGCUAUACAGCAGAAAUUGGCACAACAUUGUAAAUCAAAUAUACAACAAUGUUUUUAAAAUAGAGGGCAUAGGAGUUCCCAUCAUGGCUCAGUGGUUAACAAAUCCAACUAGGAACCAUGAGGUUGCAGGUUCAAUCCCUGGCCUCGCUCAGUGGGUUAAGGAUCCCACGUUGCUGUGGCUCUGGCGUAGGCUGGCAGCUACAUCUCCGAUUCGACCUCUAGCCUGGGAACCUCCAUAUGCCACGGGAGUGGCCCUAGAAAAGGUAAAAAGACAAUAAAUAAAUAAAUAAAUAAAUAAAUAACAAAAAUAAAAUAAAAUAGAGGGCAUAAAUUCAUUGAGUAAUAAAAAAAUUAAUAAAAAUUUAAAAAUAAAUAAAAGUCUGAAAAAAAAAUAAAAAUAAAAAUAGAGGGCACAGUUUUUAGGGCCCUAGCCUGCUGUGGCCUCCUUGGCCUGGCAAAGCAAUAAAACUAUUUUUUUCCCCUUUUGCCCCUCCGCCCCCAAUAGAACCAUUUAUUAUGUCACAUGAAUCUACCCCUCAGUGAGGCCAUGCUGCUGCUCUGAGUGUGGCUCAGCUGAUCUCAGCUGGGCUGGGUCACUGGUCUGAGGUCAACUGGAGGUCAGCAGAGAGCUGGAUGGCAGAAUCAACCUUGGCUGGGAUGACUCAGCACCACGCUGCUUGGUCUCUCAUCAUCCACUAGGCUAGCCUAGGCUUGUUCUAAUGGCACAGAGAACCAGAGGCAACAGAAGUGCAUAAGAUAUGUAGGCCUGGGCUCAGAACUGGCACACAGUUACUUCGCAUAUAGUCCAUGGCUGAAGCAAGGCACGUGGCCAGGCCAGAUCAAAGAAUGGGGAAAUAGACCCCAUCUUUUGAUGGGAAGAACUACAAAGUCAUAUUACAAGCAGAAAGGAUUAAAAAAAAAUAGUUGUAAAUCCAUCUACCACAAUCACUAAGCUAUAAAAGAAUAUGACAUAUUUAGGAGAAAUCCAGGAUUUAGGUAUGGCUUGAGGAUAAAGUUCUAAUAGAGAUUGAGAUGAACAGAUGAUGAAGUUGUAAGCUGGAGCUAGGUCAUGAAAGGACUUUUCAUUUAGAAGAAAACCACAUUUAGAAAUUCUAAUUUUUUAAGGCAAUUAUAAAGUUAUCAUGUAGUUGAUGUGAUUAUAUCUGUAUUUUAGAAAAAAAUGUAAUGCACAAUUUCCUAAAGGAAAAAAAGACAGGAGUUAGGCCAGUUAAGAAGCUACUAUGGUUAUUUAAGUCAGAAUUGAUUAGGGUUUAUACAGAGGAAAGAGGAAUGAAGAAUAUGGGGAGACAAAUUUGGAAAAAUGUUGGGGACAAAAUUGACGGACUGAAUGUGUGGUAGGAACUACUUGUUAUCUCUCCUCUUUUCCCACAGUUAUAAACCUCCUAAUUUUCGUGAGCCCAUGUCAACUCAGAAUAAAGACAUUUACCAGCUUCCCUUGCAGCUAAAGGAGACCAUGUGAGUACAUCCUGGUCCAUGAGAUGUAAACAGGUGUGUCCUUCCUGGAACCGUCACUAAAAGUCACUUGAGGCUUGCCUUUGCCGGCUUCUUUUCCUUCCCCUUAUCCUAUUUCCUGGAAUGCAAAUAUCCACUUUGGAUAAGGGAUAAGAGGUGCACCUGGGGAUGGCAGAGUAAUGACCUAGAAGGAACCUCGGUACCUAAAGAGUUAAUAGAAUGAAGCCACCACACCAGCCCUGGACUGCCUGCCCACUUUCUGACUUUUAAAUGAAAGCAAAAUAAACCACUAUCCCAUUUAGGCUUCUAUUGUUUAGGGUCUCUGCUAUUUACAGAUGAGCCUAAUAUGAACUGAUACAGAUGGGGAAAGGAGAAUUGAAGGUCUGGAUUUUGAUGUUAUUGAUGUUAUUAGACGAGGAGGAGGAGCAAGUCUCCAGGGGACGUUCUUGAGUUCUGUUAUGCAGCUGAUAGGUUUAUAAGGCCUCAGGAAGAAACAUUAAAAAUCUUUACCUUUGGGAAGAGGAAUUGUGUGAUGAGAAGCUGAAAAGACUUAUCUGACACUAAAAACAUGUUGGUAUCUUUGAUAUUUAUUUUGUACCAUAUGCUUGUUUCACCUAAGCAUACAUAAGUGCCAAUACUUUACAAACUCUUCCAAAAAAUAAAUGAGGAGAGGACUCUUCCCAGCUCAUCCUACGAAGCCAGAAUUUCUCUGAUACCAAUACUAGACAAAGACAUCAGAAAAAAAAACUACAACAAUAUUCCUAAUAAAUAUAAAUGCAAAAAUUCACAACAAACUGCUAGCAAAAGAAAUUCAGCAACAUAUAAAACCAUAAGUGAGAUUUCUCUCAAGAACACAAGCUUAGGACUUCCCGUGUGGCUCACAACAUAACUACUCAAGAACACAAGCUUGGUGUAACAUAUGAAAAUAAUUGUGUAAUAGGACAAAAGGCAAAAAAAAAAAA